Molecule: transfer RNA, 73 nt
Filed under: Harpegnathos saltator (Jerdon's jumping ant)
Lineage: Eukaryota; Metazoa; Arthropoda; Insecta; Hymenoptera; Formicidae
Rfam family: tRNA
About the family: Transfer RNA (tRNA) molecules are approximately 80 nucleotides in length.
Source: Rfam by way of RNAcentral
CGUCAGAUAGCUCAGUGGUCUAGAGCAGUCACCCGGCAAGCGAAAGACCCGGGUUCGAUUCCCGGUCUAGCGA